AUCGGAAAGCCACGGUCAUUGGAUGUACUGAUACUGACUGUAUUAGGUACAGCUUUAUACUUAUAGUUAUUCUGUUGAACACUAUACACACCUGACAGCUACGGUUAUUGUACUUUUAUAUAGAUUUGCUUUGAUAGUGUGUAGUUUUAUAGUAUAUAAUCUAUUCAGAUUGUUUUUUUCAAGACUGUUGAUAUUGGUUAGGGACCGG
Molecule: non-coding RNA, 208 nt
Organism: Paramuricea clavata
Lineage: Eukaryota; Metazoa; Cnidaria; Anthozoa; Malacalcyonacea; Plexauridae
Source: the annotation of a GenBank genome assembly